RNAcentral lists this transfer RNA (88 nucleotides) under Vibrio nigripulchritudo. Its description in RNAcentral is "tRNA-Ile". The record is from RNAcentral. Lineage: Bacteria; Pseudomonadati; Pseudomonadota; Gammaproteobacteria; Vibrionales; Vibrionaceae.
UGUUGGGGUCUGGUAGNUUCAGGCUGGGUUAGAGGGCUCGCCCUGAUAAGCGGGAGGUCGGGUGGUUCCAAGUCCACUCAGACCCCAC